RNAcentral lists this ribosomal RNA (86 nucleotides) under Porella cordaeana. RNAcentral describes it as "partial 26S ribosomal RNA". It matches the Rfam family "Eukaryotic large subunit ribosomal RNA", at positions 1 to 85 of the family's 3401-position model. Lineage: Eukaryota; Viridiplantae; Streptophyta; Jungermanniopsida; Porellales; Porellaceae. The record is from RNAcentral.
UGGACCUCAGAUCAGGCAAGAUUACCCGCUGAGUUUAAGCAUAUCACUAAGCGGAGGAAAAGAAACUAACUAGGAUUUCCUUAGUA